CCUACGGGCGGCAGCAGUGAGGAAUAUUGGUCAAUGGACGAGAGUCUGAACCAGCCAAGUAGCGUGAAGGAUGACUGCCCUAUGGGUUGUAAACUUCUUUUAUAUGGGAAUAAAAUGUUCCACGUGUGGGAUUUUGUAUGUACCAUAUGAAUAAGGAUCGGCUAACUCCGUGCCAGCAGCCGCGGUAAUACGGAGGAUCCGAGCGUUAUCCGGAUUUAUUGGGUUUAAAGGGAGCGUAGGUGGAUUUUUAAGUCAGUUGUGAAAGUUUGCGGCUCAACCGUAAAAUUGCAGUUGAAACUGGCAGUCUUGAGUACAGUAGAGGUGGGCGGAAUUCGUGGUGUAGCGGUGAAAUGCUUAGAUAUCACGAAGAACUCCGAUUGCGAAGGCAGUUCACUGGACUGCAACUGACACUGAGGCUCGAAAGUGUGGGUAUCAAACAGGAUUAGAUACCCGGGUAGUC
RNAcentral lists this ribosomal RNA (460 nucleotides) under uncultured bacterium. Its description in RNAcentral is "partial 16S ribosomal RNA". It matches the Rfam family "Bacterial small subunit ribosomal RNA", at positions 338 to 795 of the family's 1533-position model. The record is from RNAcentral.